GCUGCCGCAGCCAAUGGGGCGGGGGAGUGCUGCGGUGGGCGGGGCCCACCGGGGCCAAUCCGCCGCUGGCAGCUGCGGCGGCGGAAGCGGAGCUCGGUUCUCCGGCGGCGGCUCCUCUGUGGCGGCUGCUGCGGGACGCCCCGGGCUCAGGCGGAGAUGAGCUCGCAGCAGUUUCCCCGCUCGGGCGCGCCGCCCGCCGGCCUGGGACCAGCGCCGCCGCCCAUCCCCACCAGCGGCUCCGCCGGGCUCAUCGCUCCCGCCGCCGCAGUGAGUGACGAAUCCAGUCGUGACUCAGAAGUUGCUCCUAGAGAGCAUGUGGGCCCUGGCGGCUCCAUACAACCUCGAGAAGAAAAGCAGGAACCGGUGGUUGUUCGGCCGUACCCGCAGGUUCAGAUGCUGACCCAGCACCACCCUGUCCAGUCCGGUGCCCCGGUGACAGUGACAGCGCCGCCUGCGCAUUUGACUCCAGCUGUGCCACUUUCCUUUUCAGAUGGACUUAUGAAGCCUCCCCUGAAGCCCACUAUGCCCAGCCGGCCCAUUGCUCCUGCUCCACCCUCUACUCUCUCGGCUCCCACGAAGGUUCCUGGGCAAGUUACUGUGACCAUGGAAAGCAACAUCCCGCAGGCUCCAACAAUUCCUGUGGCAACAAUCAGUGGGCAACAGGGGCAUCCUAGUAACUUGCAUCACAUCAUGGCCACCAACGUGCAGAUGUCUAUCAUCAGAAGCAGCGCUCCUGGGCCUCCACUGCACAUCGGCGCCUCUCACCUGCCCCGAGGUGCGGCAGCUGCUGCGGUGAUGUCCAGUUCUAAAGUGACCACAGUCCUGAGACCAGCAUCCCAGUUGCCAAAUGCGGCUACGGCUCAGCCAGCGGUCCAGCACAUCAUUCACCAGCCGAUCCAGUCUCGUCCUCCAGUGACAACUUCGAGCACUAUUCCUCCUGCUGUGGUGGCAACUGUCUCAGCCACAAGAGCUCAGUCCCCUGUUAUAACUACGACAGCAGCACAUGCUGCAGAGUCAACCCUCAGUCGACCCACCCUGUCUAUCCAGCAGCACCCGCCUUCUGCAGCGAUUAGCAUUCAGCGGCCUGCCCAGCCGAGGGACACAGCUACUCGGAUCACACUACCAUCUCACCCAGCUAUAGGAACACAGAAGCCACAGCUCCACACUAUGGCUCAGAAAACUAUUUUCAGUACUGGGACUCCAGUGGCAGCAGCAACGGUGGCACCUAUUUUGGCAACAAAUACCAUCGCUUCAGCAACCACGGCUGGUUCUGUGUCUCACACCCAAGCGCCUACAAGCACCAUUGUCACCAUGACAAUGCCUUCCCAUUCUUCCCAUGCUACAGCUGUCACGACCUCAAACAUCCCAGUUGCUAAAGUGGUUCCUCAGCAAAUCACACAUACUUCCCCCCGGAUCCAGUCUGACUACACAGCAGAGAGGAGUAAUCUCAUCCCCCUCUCCAGUCACCGGGCGUCUCCAAACCCAGUAGCAAUGGAAACCAGAAACGACAACAGGCAGUCGGUGCCUGUGCAGUUCCAGUAUUUCUUACCAACGUACCCACCCUCUGCCUACCCUCUGACUGCGCACACCUACACCCCCAUCACCAGCUCCGUGUCCACCAUUCGCCAGUAUCCAGUUUCAGCCCAGGCGCCCAACUCGGCCAUCACAGCCCAGACCGGGGUCGGAGUGGCCUCCACCGUCCACCUCAACCCCAUGCAGCUCAUGACUGUGGACGCCUCCCACGCCCGCCACAUCCAGGGCAUCCAGCCGGCACCAAUCAGCGCCCAGGGCAUCCAGCCAGCACCAAUCAGCGCCCAGGGCAUCCAGCCAGCACCAAUCGGGACGCAGGGACUCCACCCCGCUGCACCAAUUGGCACGCAGGGUCUGCAGCCGGCACCAAUCAGCGCUCAGCAGCCACAGGCAGACACCAAGACUUCAGCAGUGGUCUUGGCAGACGGAGCCACCAUUGUAGCCAAUCCUAUUAGCAACACAUUCAACACGGCUUCUGCGGCAACCACAGUUGUGCAAACCCACAGCCAGAGCGCCAGCGCGCCGGCCCAGGGCUCUUCCCCGCGCCCGAGCAUCCUCCGGAAGAAACCAACCACGGAUGGGCUGGCCGUCCGGAAAAGCUUAAUUCCACCCCAGCCGCCUGAAGUAGCCGGCACACGUGUCGAGAGCGCGAUGCGGAGCACCUCUGGAUCACCAAGGCCCGCUGGAGCCAAGCCAAAACCUGAAAUCCAUGUGUCCAUGGCCACUCCAGUGACGGUGUCGAUGGAGGCAGUGUCGAACCAAGGCGGCGAGCAGCCCACCAUCGCGGUGCCUCCCACCUCCCAGCAGCCCCCCUCCGCCAUUCCAACCAUCAUCGCAGCAGCCAGUCCCACCUCGCAGCCCGCAGCAGCUCUGUCCACCAUGCCGGGAGCCGUCCCGGCCGCUCCGCCGACAUCCACCACCAUCGUGGCAGCACCCGCUCCGCCGUCAACCAUGAGCGGUGCCCUGUCAGCCGUGCUGGGUCCUGCCGUACCAGAGAUCAAAAUCAAAGAGGAAGUGGAGCCCAUGGACAUCAUGCGGCCGGUAUCUGCAGUCCCCCCUUUGACAACAAGUACUGUGUCUCCGUCUCUGGCAUUGCUGGCCAACAACCUUUCGAUGCCUCCAAGUGAUUUGCCACCCGGUGCCUCCCCGAGGAAGAAGCCCCGUAAGCAGCAGCAUGUCAUCUCCACGGAGGAAGGGGACAUGAUGGAAACAAACAGCACUGAUGAUGAGAAAUCCACUGCCAAAAGUUUGCUGGUGAAGGCAGAGAAGCGCAAGUCUCCUCCAAAGGAGUAUAUAGAUGAAGAAGGUGUCAGAUACGUCCCUGUGCGUCCCAGGCCGCCCAUCACGUUGCUCCGUCAUUACCGCAACCCUUGGAAAGCCGCUUACCACCAUUUCCAGAGAUACAGCGACGUCCGGGUGAAAGAAGAGAAGAAGGCCAUGCUGCAGGAGAUUGCCAACCAGAAGGGCGUAUCCUGUCGUGCACAAGGGUGGAAGGUCCAUCUCUGCGCCGCUCAGCUCCUGCAGCUGAUGAUCAAAAUUGGCAACUCCCUCCUGCUGAUGCACAGGUCUGAAGAAGCGUCUGUUUGGGAUGGUGCGGCUGAUCUGAGGAGGCAGCACUGAUCCACAUUCCUGGAUGCUUCUGUUUCAGGUUGGGGGUGAGACGAACCUGGAGCACGAUGUGUACGAGAGGCUGACCGCGCUGCAGGAGGGGCUCAUCCCCAAGAAAAAGGCAGCGACCGAUGACGACUUGCACCGCAUCAACGAACUGAUACAGGGGAACAUGCAGAGAUGUAAACUUGUGAUGGAUCAAAUCAAUGAGGCUCGAGACUCCAUGCUAAAGGUUUUGGAUCACAAGGAUCGCGUUUUGAAGCUCCUAAACAAGAAUGGAACUGUCAAGAAAGUAUCCAAAUUAAAGCGAAAGGAGAAGGUCUAAAGCCAGAAUAACAGAGAACACGUACAGAACGGAGUGGAACAUUUUUGUAGUUGGGUUUUAUUUUUAAGCAGAGCAUCUGAAUAAAAAGGAUGAGUUUAGGGAACAGAUGGCAACAGAUGGACACGUGAAGCCUGGCGGCCGGAAGGGAUUGUUGCUGAUCUGUCGUAACGAACAAAGAUUUCUCUCAGGCUCAUCCCUUUUUCAAGUCUUUUCCAGUCCCAUUUGUAUAACCCUCCUGAUGUGUCAGUGCCUACUAACGGGAACCAGUGACGCAGCGUGAGGCGGACUCUGCUCUCCUUCCAUUCUGCAGCUUAGUGGUAAAUGCACGUGAGGUGUGUAGGCGCCUGUCACGCAGGAGCAGGUUCUGCGGGGACACCGCGAGGCCGACGUGCAGGUACCGACACGGAUGUCACCCGAGCGCUGACAGUGACCGCGCUUUCAGUUACCCCGUUCAGUUCUUGUUCCUCUGCCUUGCCAGUGUCUGAAGCAGCCUUCUCCAACCAGUGCCACUGCACCGGGAUCUGCCCCAGUCACGUCUCCAAUGGCUUGGGAGUCCUAGCUGUCAGUUUAAAAAAAAAUUCUAAAAAGAGGAAAAAAAAAGGAAAAAGGUGGGGUGGGAAAUCAUUUCAAAGUGAUUUUGUAGUGUCUGUGUGUGUGUGUCCAUGUUGGUGCUCUGGGAUCCUUGUUCUGAAGAACCUCUUGAAACAGAGGACUUCCUGUAGCUGGUGUUAUGUUAAUUGUAUGUACCACAUACAUCCUGAAAACAUUAAUAAAGGACUUUGGAGGUUUUUGUAUGUGA
Columba livia (rock pigeon) is the source of this 4262-nucleotide RNA transcript. It is a transcript of the gene named Sin3A associated protein 130, with no coding region annotated. NCBI's taxonomy places the organism in Eukaryota, Metazoa, Chordata, Aves, Columbiformes, Columbidae. The record is from RefSeq and is a predicted model, not a curated record. The transcript has 22 exons.